RNAcentral lists this ribosomal RNA (402 nucleotides) under Triticum aestivum (bread wheat). RNAcentral describes it as "partial small subunit ribosomal RNA". The record is from RNAcentral. Lineage: Eukaryota; Viridiplantae; Streptophyta; Magnoliopsida; Poales; Poaceae.
AUGAGAUCUCUAGCCAUCGCAAGUAGCCAAGUGCGGCGAGGCUGUCCAAGCUGUAACUUGUGCCCUCUUUGCAAGCAAGUGCACGAAUCUGCUGCUCACCUCCUAUUUCAAUGUAGGUUCACUAUCCGGAUUUGGACCGAAAUUUGCACUUGGCUUGGCAUCCUUGACUCCUCGCCAAUGAAUUGGCGUCAUGAAGACUCAGUUAGAGAUUGGUGGCUCAAGGCGGUUAAUGGUGGAGGUGGCUGCAGGAAGGCCAUCCCCUCCUUGAUGAUGCUUGUCUCGUGAGAAAUUUGGAAGGAGCGCAACGCAAGAAUUUUUCAAAAUGUCUGUGCCCCGAUCUCCAUUGUUAUCGCAAAAAUCAAAGAGCCAUCUCUGGUCUUUGACGGGAGCCAAACAGCUUAG